RNAcentral lists this ribosomal RNA (235 nucleotides) under uncultured bacterium. RNAcentral describes it as "partial 16S ribosomal RNA". It matches the Rfam family "Bacterial small subunit ribosomal RNA", at positions 96 to 334 of the family's 1533-position model. The record is from RNAcentral.
CGGCGGACGGGUGAGUAAUGUCUGGGAAACUGCCCGAUGGAGGGGGAUAACUACUGGAAACGGUAGCUAAUACCGCAUAACGUCGCAAGACCAAAGAGGGGGACCUUAGGGCCUCUUGCCAUCGGAUGUGCCCAGAUGGGAUUAGCUAGUAGGUGGGGUAACGGCUCACCUAGGCGACGAUCCCUAGCUGGUCUGAGAGGAUGACCGGCCACACUGGAACUGAGACACGGUCCAG